This 159-nucleotide non-coding RNA is filed under the name Conticribra weissflogii. Lineage: Eukaryota; Bacillariophyta; Thalassiosirophyceae; Thalassiosirales; Thalassiosiraceae. The record is from RNAcentral.
UUGUCUGACAAUUCAUCAUUAUAUAGUUCAUUCUAGCUAUCAAUCAUUCAGUACGUCAUAGAAACCAAGCCAAGCCAAACCAGACUCUCCAAUCCUCACUCCGUAUUAUCAAGCCCUCUCGACUCCAACCUACGGUGGCGGCGUUGUACCCCCAAUUUC